This 91-nucleotide transfer RNA is filed under the name Nocardia rhizosphaerihabitans. RNAcentral describes it as "tRNA-His". Lineage: Bacteria; Bacillati; Actinomycetota; Actinomycetes; Mycobacteriales; Nocardiaceae. The record is from RNAcentral.
CGCCGACCUGGUCGUGCGCGACGGCGCGCUGUGGAUGCGCUCGCUCGGCAGCCUGGAACGGGUCGACGUGGUGCUGCGCCGCGUCGACGCC